AGUGAACGCUGGCGGUAGGCCUAACACAUGCAAGUCGAACGGCAGCACAGUAAGAGCUUGCUCUUACGGGUGGCGAGUGGCGGACGGGUGAGGAAUACAUCGGAAUCUACUUUUUCGUGGGGGAGAACGUAGGGAAACUUACGCUAUUACCGCAUACGACCUACGGGGGAAAGCAGGGGACCUUCGGACCUUGGGCGAUUGAAUGACCCGAUGUCGGAUUAGCUGGUUGGCGGGGUAAAGGCCCACCAAGGCGACGAUCCGUAGCUGGGCUGAGAGGAUGAUCAGCCACACUGGAACUGAGACACGGUCCAGACUCCCACGGGAGGCAGCAGUGGGGAAUAUUGGACAAUGGGCGCAAGCCUGAUCCAGCCAUACCGCGUGGGUGAAGAAGGCCUUCGGGUUGUAAAGCCCUUUUGUUGGGAAAGAAAAGCAGCAGGUUAAUACCCCGCUGUUCUGACGGUACCCAAAGAAUAAGCACCGGCUAACUUCGUG
This 492-nucleotide ribosomal RNA is filed under the name uncultured bacterium. RNAcentral describes it as "partial 16S ribosomal RNA". It matches the Rfam family "Bacterial small subunit ribosomal RNA", at positions 29 to 507 of the family's 1533-position model. The record is from RNAcentral.